This 633-nucleotide non-coding RNA is filed under the name Pongo abelii (Sumatran orangutan). Lineage: Eukaryota; Metazoa; Chordata; Mammalia; Primates; Hominidae. The record is from RNAcentral.
CGUGCUGCUCCUGCUUCAGGCGAUGACGUCGGGAAUGCUCAUCGACUUGAGCGCGAAGAAAUGCUUGUCCGUCUUCUCCUUCACCGGGUACACCCGCCCGAACGUCCCCGUGCCCACGGUGGCCAGCGUGUGGAAGUCCCGCAGGCGCUGAUUCACAACUCAAGUAGCACAGUGAGGGUGGACAAUUGGGACUGCCUAAGCAUCCCAGCAUCGCCUGUUCUACAUAUCACUGUUCCCAGUGGCGUGCUGCUGUGUUUGUGAAUCCAGCCUCCCACAGUGGGUAUGUCACCAUUGACCUAUAACAAUUGGAAUGACACAUCUUCACUAGAGGCAGGCCUUGGCCAUCCUCCACAGCAGACUAUUAAGUAACAAAAUAAGCAGUACUAUUUCUUUUCUUCUUAUUAUGCUGUUUAAAAAAAAAGCCUCUGAUGAAAUCCUGGUGGCUGCUUCUCUGUUCUUACCAAUCCAGGAAGUGUAGAGAGCUGUUGAGCCCUGUUUCCAAAUCCCCAGGUGAAGCUGCGCUGACAGGCCUUCUGUCCAUACAGCCCUUUCCAAGACUCAGCUAUUUGUGAUCACCCCCAAAUGUUACCCUGAUUCUAUUACCAAUUUGUAAUAAAACUCACUUGUAUGGUG